Gossypium arboreum is the source of this 1075-nucleotide long non-coding RNA. RefSeq lists it as uncharacterized. NCBI's taxonomy places the organism in Eukaryota, Viridiplantae, Streptophyta, Magnoliopsida, Malvales, Malvaceae. The record is from RefSeq and is a predicted model, not a curated record. The transcript is spliced from 3 exons.
AAAAGCCAAUUUUUGUCCAUCUUCAACCCCUUGGCCGAAUUUCACAUGAGGAAGACAUAGCUAGGGUUUUUCAACCUUCCAAGCUCGAUUAUCAAGAAGAACGAAAUUCGGAGUUAGACCGGGGAAAGAAAAAGAUAGUGGACUAAAUCGAUAAAGUUGAUCGUAUUUUGUUUCGAGAUCAAGAGAAACGAGAUUCAAGUCGUGAUCGAGGGAAAAAUAAAGUUUACAAGGAAUAGGCCCGAUUGCUAAUAUUUUGUAUCGAGGUUAGCUCAGGGUUGGAGACCGUCGGAGGCAACAUCACAUUAUCAAGCCAACACCUUGAUAGUAUAAACACAUAUGCUAGAUUUAUCAAGUGAGUGGCAUGUAUAGGGACCUAAUUUUAUAACAUGUGUUAUUAUUAUUUGGCCAAAUAUAUUUGUAUUUAGUGAGCUAAUGAUUCUAAGGCCAAAUAUAUUUGUCUUUAGUGAGCUAAUGAUUCUAACUUAUAAAUCUAGCUAUUUAUGUUAUGUUUGAUAUUGGUGAUGUGCAUAUGAUUGGUUGUCAUGCAAGGUUGGUAAUAAGUUGUUUAAGUUGUUCAAUUGAUGAAUUAAGUUUAGUAACACUUCGUGCUUGACUUCGACAAUGGUCUUGGGUACGGGGGUGUUACAUUUAGUGGUAUCAGAGCUAUGGUUUAGUCGGUUCUCGGACUAAUCUAGCAUGUGUAAAAGUCCAACUAUACAUGUCACCGAUCCGUGAUAGUGUGAUGUCUCCUGACGCGUAUGAGAGCCACUUUGUUUAGACAAAGGUACUCUCCAACCGAGCUACACCGACCAUGUUGAAUGUGAUGCUAAAAUAUUCAAGUAAAGUAUAGUCAUGAUGAACUGAAACUUGGAAAGGUACGAAUGAGGAUUCAUGAAAUGUGUACAUGGUGAAAUGAGUUUAUCCAUGAUUAAUAGAUAAUUCCAUGAUGUAUAUGAUCGAUUUAUUUGAACAAAUGCAUGUGUUUGAGUAACUUAUCAAAAAUAUUGAUAAGAUGAAUAUUCAUGUAUAUUGGUUGGGAUGAUUAUGAUUGGUAAGCUCGUAUAACUUGAGUAAA